CUGGUGUCUCUUCAUAGCAAUAAAAACAUGAACUCCUUCUGAAGAAGACCCACUUCACUAAUCCUAUUGGAGAAGUAGUGAAUAUGACCAGAAAGAAAUAUUACAGACAGAUUAUGACAUUUUUCCAGAUUCGGAAUUUCCCACAUAGUCUUGGACUUAAGGAGAAAAUAGCAAAGUUUAACCCAUGUCUUCCGCAUGGUCAGCAGCUCUGUUUAUCUGAAGACAUGAUAGAGUGGGUCAUAGGAGUGGACAGAAUUCCACCUGUGGGGCCACUGAGGCAGACAGGUCUCAACUAUAAUAAAACCAGAGACGCAGUUGUAAUAAAAACCAGAAACUGAGCUACCACCCGCU
This is a long non-coding RNA of Onychomys torridus (southern grasshopper mouse), 351 nucleotides long. RefSeq lists it as uncharacterized. The transcript is spliced from 3 exons. The record is from RefSeq and is a predicted model, not a curated record. Lineage: Eukaryota; Metazoa; Chordata; Mammalia; Rodentia; Cricetidae.